UACGUAGGGUGCAAGCGUUGUCCGGAAUUAUUGGGCGUAAAGAGCUCGUAGGCGGUUUGUCGCGUCUGCUGUGAAAACCCGAGGCUCAACCUCGGGCCUGCAGUGGGUACGGGCAGACUAGAGUGCGGUAGGGGAGAUUGGAAUUCCUGGUGUAGCGGUGGAAUGCGCAGAUAUCAGGAGGAACACCAAUGGCGAAGGCAGAUCUCUGGGCCAUUACUGACGCUGAGGAGCGAAAGCGUGGGGAGCGAACAGG
This 253-nucleotide ribosomal RNA is filed under the name uncultured bacterium. Its description in RNAcentral is "partial 16S ribosomal RNA". It matches the Rfam family "Bacterial small subunit ribosomal RNA", at positions 524 to 776 of the family's 1533-position model. The record is from RNAcentral.